This 439-nucleotide ribosomal RNA is filed under the name uncultured bacterium. Its description in RNAcentral is "partial 16S ribosomal RNA". It matches the Rfam family "Bacterial small subunit ribosomal RNA", at positions 339 to 795 of the family's 1533-position model. The record is from RNAcentral.
CUACGGGGUGCAGCAGUGGGGAAUAUUGCACAAUGGGGGAAACCCUGAUGCAGCAACGCCGCGUGGAGGAUGACGCAUUUCGGUGUGUAAACCCCUUUUAUAUAGGAAGAUAAUGACGGUACUAUAUGAAUAAGCACCGGCUAACUCCGUGCCAGCAGCCGCGGUAAUACGGAGGGUGCAAGCGUUACUCGGAAUCACUGGGCGUAAAGCGCGCGCAGGCGGUCUGGUAAGUUGGAUGUGAAAGCCUACGGCUCAACCGUAGAACUGCAUCCAAAACUGUCAGACUAGAGUCUGGGAGGGGAAGAUGGAAUUAGUUGUGUAGGGGUAAAAUCCGUAGAGAUAACUAGGAAUACCAAAAGCGAAGGCGAUCUUCUGGACCAGUACUGACGCUGAGGCGCGAAAGCGUGGGGAGCAAACAGGAUUAGAUACCCGAGUAGUC